AACUUUUAGCAACGGAUCACUUGGCUCUCGCAUCGAUGAAGAACGCAGCGAGAUGCGAUAAGUAAUGUGAAUUGCAGAAUUCAGUGAAUCAUCGAAUCUUUGAACGCACCUUGCGCUCUUUGGUAUUCCGAAGAGCAUGCCUGUUUGAGUGUCAUGAGAAUAUCAAUCUUGACUUGGGUUUAGUGCUCUUGUCUUGGCUUGGAUUGGGCUGUUUGCCGCUCGAAAGAGUCGGCUCAGCUUUAAAGUAUUAGCUGGAUCUGGCUUUGAGACUUGGUUUGACUUGGCGUAAUAAGUUAUUUCGCUGAGGACAAUCUUCGGAUGGGCCGAGUUUCUGGGACGUUUGUCCGCUUUCUAAUACAAGUUCUAGCUUGCUAGACAUGACUUUUUUAUUAUCUGGCCUCAAAUCAGGUAGGACUACCCGCUGAACUUAAGCAUAUCAAUAAGCGGCGGCU
RNAcentral lists this unclassified non-coding RNA (452 nucleotides) under uncultured Cryptococcus. RNAcentral's name for it is "sequence contains ITS2". The stretch from base 1 to 154 matches the Rfam family "5.8S ribosomal RNA". The record is from RNAcentral. Lineage: Eukaryota; Fungi; Basidiomycota; Tremellomycetes.